GACGAGGGAUCCUAGCGUUGUUCGGAAUCAUUGGGCGUAAAGCGGGUGCAGGUGGCUUUGUAAGUCAGGUGUGAAAUCCCAGGGCUCAACCCUGGAAGUGCAUUUGAUACUGCGAAGCUUGAGUGUGGGAGAGGUGAGUAGAAUUCCAGGUGUAGUGGUGAAAUACGUAGAUAUCUGGAGGAAUACCGGAGGCGAAGGCGGCUCACUGGCCCAACACUGACACUCAGACCCGAAAGCGUGGGGAUCAAACAGG
Molecule: ribosomal RNA, 253 nt
Filed under: uncultured bacterium
Lineage: Bacteria
Description: partial 16S ribosomal RNA
Rfam family: Bacterial small subunit ribosomal RNA
Source: RNAcentral